Molecule: ribosomal RNA, 433 nt
Filed under: uncultured bacterium
Lineage: Bacteria
Description: partial 16S ribosomal RNA
Rfam family: Bacterial small subunit ribosomal RNA
Source: RNAcentral
AACGAACGCUGGCGGCAUGCCUAACACAUGCAAGUCGAACGAGACCUUCGGGUCUAGUGGCGCACGGGUGCGUAACGCGUGGGAACCUGCCCUUAGGUUCGGAAUAACUCCCCGAAAGGGGUGCUAAUACCGGAUAAUGUCUUCGGACCAAAGAUUUAUCGCCUUUGGAUGGGCCCGCGUUGGAUUAGCCAGUUGGUAGGGUAAAAGCCUACCAAGGCGACGAUCCAUAGCUGGUCUGAGAGGAUGAUCAGCCACACUGGGACUGAGACACGGCCCAGACUCCUACGGGAGGCAGCAGUGGGGAAUAUUGGAAAAUGGGCGAAAGCCUGAUCCAGCAAUGCCGCGUGAGUGAUGAAGGCCUUAGGGUUGUAAAGCUCUUUUACCCGGGAUGAUAAUGACAGUACCGGGAGAAUAAGCUCCGGCUAACUCCGUG